GCCUGACUAGCUCAGUUGGUAGAGCAUGAGACUCUUAAUCUCAGGGUCAUGGGUUCAAGCCCCAUGUGAGGCA
This is a non-coding RNA of Mauremys reevesii (Reeves's turtle), 73 nucleotides long. Lineage: Eukaryota; Metazoa; Chordata; Testudines; Geoemydidae. The record is from the annotation of a RefSeq genome assembly.